GACGAACGCUGGCGGCGUGCUUAACACAUGCAAGUCGAACGGAAAGGCCCUUCUUUUGUGGGGUGCUCGAGUGGCGAACGGGUGAGUAACACGUGAGUAACCUGCCCUUGACUUUGGUAUAACUUCAGGAAACUGGGGCUAAUACCGGAUAGGAUCUCCUGCUUCAUGGUGGGGGUUGGAAAGUUUCGGCGGUUGGGGAUGGACUCGCGGCUUAUCAGCUUGUUGGUGGGGUAGUGGCUUACCAAGGCUUUGACGGGUAGCCGGCCUGAGAGGGUGACCGGCCACAUUGGGACUGAGAUACGGCCCAGACUCCUACGGGAGGCAGCAGUGGGGAAUAUUGCACAAUGGGCGGAAGCCUGAUGCAGCAACGCCGCGUGCGGGAUGACGGCCUUCGGGUUGUAAACCGCUUUCGCCUGUGACGAAGCGUGAGUGACGGUAAUGGGUAAAGAAGCACCGGCUAACUACGUG
This 468-nucleotide ribosomal RNA is filed under the name uncultured bacterium. RNAcentral describes it as "partial 16S ribosomal RNA". It matches the Rfam family "Bacterial small subunit ribosomal RNA", at positions 28 to 507 of the family's 1533-position model. The record is from RNAcentral.